This 276-nucleotide ribosomal RNA is filed under the name uncultured Planctomycetota bacterium. RNAcentral describes it as "uncultured planctomycete partial 16S ribosomal RNA". It matches the Rfam family "Bacterial small subunit ribosomal RNA", at positions 556 to 832 of the family's 1533-position model. The record is from RNAcentral. Lineage: Bacteria; Pseudomonadati; Planctomycetota.
GGGCAUAAAGCGCACGUAGGCGGAGUCAUAAGUCGGUUGUGAAAUCCCGGGGCUCAACCCCGGAACAGCGGCCCAUACUGUGAUUCUGGAGCACGAAAGGGGAGAGUGGAACUUCUGGUGGAGCGGUGAAAUGCGUAGAUAUCAGAAGGAACACCGGUGGCGAAAGACUCUGCUGGUUCGUUGCUGACGCUGAGGUGCGAAAGCUAGGGGAGCAAACUUUUUUAGAUACCCCGGUAGUCCUAGCCGUAAACGAUGGGCACUAAGUAAAGGGGUUUU